GGAGUUGGCUGGACUGGUUGUUUCAUUGUCAUAGAUGCCAUGUUGGAAAGAAUCAAGCAUGAAAAAACUGUAGGUAAUUAUGCCUAUGCAACUUUAAUGAGAACCCAGAGGAAUUACAUGGUUCAAGCAGGAGACCAGUGUAUCUCUGUCCAUGAUGCACUGUUAGAGGCAGUUACUUGUGUAAAUACCAAAGUUCCAGCUAGAAACUUGUAUGCCUAUACCAUGCAAUAAUUUCAAAAAUCACCUUGUUAAUAUUACACCAUAUAAAUCCACAAGGUUGUACUUGCAGCCUAUCCAUGGAGUAGAAGUAUCUGGUUACAUUAAUGCCAGUUUUAUUGAUGAGUAAAGACAAUAGAAAGCUUACAUUAGGGACCCUUGAAAGAGAUCACUGAGGACUUCCAGUGGAUGCUCUGGAAACACAAUUUCACCAAGCUGUGUGAAAUGGGCAGAGAAAAAUGUCACCAAUACUGGCCAGCAGAAUAAUCCACAAGAUACCAGUACUUUGUUGUAGAUCCUGUGGCUGAGUACAACAUGCCAUAGUUUAUCACAAGGGAAUUUAAAGUCAUAGAUGCCAAGGACAGCCAGUCCUGAACAGUGAGACAGCUCCAGUUCACUGACUGCCCAGAUUAAAAAGUGCCAAAGUCUGGAAAAAGAUUUAUUGACUUAAUUGGCCAAGUGCAUAAAACAAAAGAGUACUGUGGUCAAGAUGGACCCAGUUCAGUUCACUGUAAUGUGAGCUUGGAAGGAGUAAAAUCUUCAUAAUAUUAAGCAUUGUUUUGGAAAUAAUGAGAUGUGAAAGAGUUGUAGAUAUCUUCCAGACCAUCAAAACAUACAGAACACAAUGGCCAGCCAUGGUACAAACAGAGAAUGAGAAUUGGUUUUUCUAUUGAGUUGUGCUAGAGAAACUGGGCAGCUUUGAUCAAUAU
RNAcentral lists this long non-coding RNA (926 nucleotides) under Homo sapiens (human). RNAcentral describes it as "non-protein coding lnc-DTWD2-13:1". The record is from RNAcentral. Lineage: Eukaryota; Metazoa; Chordata; Mammalia; Primates; Hominidae.